GGUAAGGGGUGUUGAAGGUGGAGGUGCGACGGCCUUGCGUGGUGGUAGAGUGGAAGAGAAAUGAGGAAAAUGAGACUUCUAAGUUGGUAAAAAAAAAAGAAAAUGAGUGAAAAAUUGAUGAGCAAAGUGGUGGUGCGACUAAAGGAGAUGAGAAGAGAAAAAUGGAGAAAAUAAAAAUGAAAUGGGGAGUGUCUAAGUUCAAUGGUCAACCAAGUUAAGGUAAGGGAGAGGUUUUGGCAAGUUGAGGGGACAAUGACACCAAAAGUGGAUCAUGGGAGUGAAAAUGGGAGAACUUUGGGAAGGUUGACCUUACAAUUAAGGAAAUAAUCUUCCCUUGUAUGGCAAUAUGUGUUGGAUGGCAAGAG
RNAcentral lists this long non-coding RNA (365 nucleotides) under Gossypium raimondii (Peruvian cotton). RNAcentral describes it as "long non-coding RNA (GRAI_LNC009798)". The record is from RNAcentral. Lineage: Eukaryota; Viridiplantae; Streptophyta; Magnoliopsida; Malvales; Malvaceae.